This 497-nucleotide ribosomal RNA is filed under the name uncultured bacterium. RNAcentral's name for it is "partial 16S ribosomal RNA". It matches the Rfam family "Bacterial small subunit ribosomal RNA", at positions 28 to 507 of the family's 1533-position model. The record is from RNAcentral.
GAUGAACGCUGGCGGCGUGCCUAAUACAUGCAAGUCGAGCGAACGGACGAGAAGCUUGCUUUUCUGAUGUUAGCGGCGGACGGGUGAGUAACACGUGGAUAACCUACCUAUAAGACUGGGAUAACUUCGGGAAACCGGAGCUAAUACCGGAUAAUAUUUUGAACCGCAUGGUUCAAAAGUGAAAGACGGUCUUGCUGUCACUUAUAGAUGGAUCCGCGCUGCAUUAGCUAGUUGGUAAGGUAACGGCUUACCAAGGAAAUGAAGCAUAGCCGACCUGAGAGGGUGAUCGGCCACACUGGAACUGAGGCACGGUCCAGACACCUGCGGGAGGCAGCAGUAGGGAAUCCUACGCGAUGGGCGAAAGCCUGACGGAGCAACGCCGCGUGAGUGCUGAAGGUCUUCGGAUCGUAAAACUCUGUUAUUAGGGAAGAACAUAUGUGUAAGUAACUGUGCACAUCUUGACGGUACCUAAUCAGAAAGCCACGGCUAACUACGUG